RNAcentral lists this ribosomal RNA (253 nucleotides) under uncultured bacterium. RNAcentral describes it as "partial 16S ribosomal RNA". It matches the Rfam family "Bacterial small subunit ribosomal RNA", at positions 524 to 776 of the family's 1533-position model. The record is from RNAcentral.
AACGUAGGUGGCAAGCGUUAUCCGGAAUUACUGGGCGUAAAGGGCGCGUAGGCGGCCUUCUAAGUCGGAUGUGAAAUCCCCAGGCUCAACCUGGGAACUGCAUCCGAUACUGGAUGGCUUGAAUCCGGGAGAGGGAUGCAGAAUUCCAGGUGUAGCGGUGAAAUGCGUAGAUAUCUGGAGGAAUACCGGUGGCGAAGGCGGCAUCCUGGACCGGCAUUGACGCUGAGGAGCGAAAGCUAGGGGAGCAAACGGG